RNAcentral lists this ribosomal RNA (791 nucleotides) under uncultured bacterium. RNAcentral describes it as "bacterial SSU rRNA". It matches the Rfam family "Bacterial small subunit ribosomal RNA", at positions 76 to 864 of the family's 1533-position model. The record is from RNAcentral.
GNGNCAACCCUGGUGGCGAGUGGNGAACGGGUGAGUAACNNNUCGGAACGUGCCCUGGAGUGGGGGAUAACUAGUCGAAAGAUUAGCUAAUACCGCAUACGAUCUACGGAUGAAAGUGGGGGAUCGCAAGACCUCAUGCUCGUGGAGCGGCCGAUAUCUGAUUAGCUAGUUGGUGGGGUAAAGGCCUACCAAGGCAUCGAUCAGUAGCUGGUCUGAGAGGACGACCAGCCACACUGGGACUGAGACACGGCCCAGACUCCUACGGGAGGCAGCAGUGGGGAAUUUUGGACAAUGGGCGCAAGCCUGAUCCAGCAAUGCCGCGUGAGUGAAGAAGGCCUUCGGGUUGUAAAGCUCUUUUGUCAGGGAAGAAACGGUGGAGGUUAAUACCUUCUGCUAAUGACGGUACCUGAAGAAUAAGCACCGGCUAACUACGUGCCAGCAGCCGCGGUAAUACGUAGGGUGCAAGCGUUAAUCGGAAUUACUGGGCGUAAAGCGUGCGCAGGCGGUUGUGCAAGACAGAUGUGAAAUCCCCGGGCUCAACCUGGGAAUUGCAUUUGUGACUGUACGGCUAGAGUGUGUCAGAGGGGGGUAGAAUUCCACGUGUAGCAGUGAAAUGCGUAGAGAUGUGGAGGAAUACCGAUGGCGAAGGCAGCCCCCUGGGAUAACACUGACGCUCAUGCACGAAAGCGUGGGGAGCAAACNGGAUUAGAUACCCUGNNAGUCCACGCCCUAAACGAUGUCUACUAGUUGUCGGGUCUUUAUUGACUUGGUAACGCANCUAACGCGUGAAG